Vigna angularis (adzuki bean) is the source of this 491-nucleotide long non-coding RNA. RefSeq lists it as uncharacterized. Lineage: Eukaryota; Viridiplantae; Streptophyta; Magnoliopsida; Fabales; Fabaceae. The record is from RefSeq and is a predicted model, not a curated record. The transcript is spliced from 4 exons.
AAUGGAUAGAACGAGUGGCAAAGAUACUAGUUGACGGGAAAGAAGGGUCAGCUGAUGUUUGUGUCAUUGAAUUGGGUGGAACUAUAGGGGAUAUUGAGUCCAUGCCUUUUAUUGAAGCACUGCUGGAACUGUAUUUAUGCAGUUUAAUUUGUUAAUUUCAUGGGUUUGACGAUUUUCUUUUUUUCUUUUUUUUGUUAAAAUUGAAUUUCAUACUUUUCCAUUUUAAGUGGUUUAAGUUCAUGCAAUAUCCUAAACCUUUUCCUUUGAAUUUAUCCUAAAGUGUUUGGGUCUUCAAACUAAUUCCUUUAUCAUUUACAGUGUUGCAGCAGAGCCUAAUUUGAAGGAGUCGACUGCAAGGAAAAAAAUUUAUGACAAAUGUGAUGAAACUGUUAGAAUUGCAAUGGUGGGAAAAUACACAGGCCUUUCAGAUGCAUAUCUUUCUGUUCUCAAGGAUCCUGAGGCAUAUAAAGUUGCAUGGAAUCUUUUAAAGG